UCCGAUAUGGUGUAGUGGCCAACAUGAUGCCCUCUCAACUCAAUGAGAGGUUAGGCAUAGCCCCGAGUUCGAUUCUCGGUUUCGGAA
RNAcentral lists this transfer RNA (87 nucleotides) under Colletotrichum lupini. RNAcentral's name for it is "tRNA-Glu". It matches the Rfam family "tRNA". Rfam says of the family: Transfer RNA (tRNA) molecules are approximately 80 nucleotides in length. Their secondary structure includes four short double-helical elements and three loops (D, anti-codon, and T loops). Further hydrogen bonds mediate the characteristic L-shaped molecular structure. tRNAs have two regions of fundamental functional importance: the anti-codon, which is responsible for specific mRNA codon recognition, and the 3' end, to which the tRNAs corresponding amino acid is attached (by aminoacyl-tRNA synthetases). tRNAs cope with the degeneracy of the genetic code in two manners: having more than one tRNA (with a specific anti-codon) for a particular amino acid; and 'wobble' base-pairing, i.e. permitting non-standard base-pairing at the 3rd anti-codon position. The record is from RNAcentral. Lineage: Eukaryota; Fungi; Ascomycota; Sordariomycetes; Glomerellales; Glomerellaceae.